This 478-nucleotide ribosomal RNA is filed under the name uncultured Planctomycetota bacterium. RNAcentral's name for it is "bacterial SSU rRNA". It matches the Rfam family "Bacterial small subunit ribosomal RNA", at positions 364 to 832 of the family's 1533-position model. The record is from RNAcentral. Lineage: Bacteria; Pseudomonadati; Planctomycetota.
UUUCGCAAUGCCCGAAAGGGUGACGAAGCGACGCCGCGUGCGGGAAGAAGGCCUUCGGGUUGUAAACCGCUGUCGGGAGUUAAGAAAUGUAAGGAUGUUAAUAGCAUCUUUGCUUGACUAAGGCUCCGGAGGAAGCCACGGCUAACUCUGUGCCAGCAGGCGCGGUAAUACAGAGGCGGCAAGCGUUGUUCGGAAUUAUUGGGCGUAAAGAGCACGUAGGCGGCUAUGUAAGUCGGUUGUGAAAGCCUUCCGCUCAACGGGAGAACAGCAUCCGAUACUGCAUGGCUUGAGUGCGGGAGGGGAGAGUGGAACUUCUGGUGGAGCGGUGAAAUGCGUAGAUAUCAGAAGGAACGCCGGCGGCGAAAGCGGCUCUCUGGCCCAUAACUGACGCUGAGUGUGCGAAAGCUAGGGGAGCAAACGGGAUUAGAUACCCCGGUAGUCCUAGCCGUAAACGAUGGGCACUAAGUAGAGGGGUUUU